CCAGUUGACCGGGUGGCCGCUCCUGUUUCCGUGGGAGAGGAAAGUCCGGGCUCCAUCGAAAUACGGUGACGGCUAACGGCCGCCGGGGGCGACCCCAGGGAAAGUGCCACAGAAAGCAAACCGCCUUCGCCUCGGCGUCGGUAAGGAUGAAAGGGUGCGGUAAGAGCGCACCGCGGACCUGGCAACAGGGACGGCACGGCAAACCCCACCGGGAGCAAGACCAAAUAGGGAUGACGCGGGGACAGGGUGAAAGCCCUUUGCCCCAGCCGGUUUUCGAGGCCUGUCAUCCGGGUUGGUUGCAUAAGGCCGGCAGUAAUGCCGGUCAAAGAUGAAUGGUCACCACGUCAGCGCCGUGAGGCGCCGGCCCUACAGAACCCGGCUUAUAGGUCAACUGGCAUU
RNAcentral lists this RNase P RNA (399 nucleotides) under Devosia sp. RNAcentral describes it as "RNase P RNA component class A". It matches the Rfam family "Bacterial RNase P class A". From Rfam's summary of the family: Ribonuclease P (RNase P) is a ubiquitous endoribonuclease, found in archaea, bacteria and eukarya as well as chloroplasts and mitochondria. Its best characterised activity is the generation of mature 5'-ends of tRNAs by cleaving the 5'-leader elements of precursor-tRNAs. Cellular RNase Ps are ribonucleoproteins. Lineage: Bacteria; Pseudomonadati; Pseudomonadota; Alphaproteobacteria; Hyphomicrobiales; Devosiaceae. The record is from RNAcentral. RNAcentral also lists the same sequence under 1 other name.